Molecule: ribosomal RNA, 253 nt
Filed under: uncultured bacterium
Lineage: Bacteria
Description: partial 16S ribosomal RNA
Rfam family: Bacterial small subunit ribosomal RNA
Source: RNAcentral
UACGGAGGGUGCAAGCGUUGUCCGGAUUUAUUGGGUUUAAAGGGUGCGUAGGCGGCUAUUUAAGUCAGUGGUGAAAUCCAGCAGCUCAACUGUUGAACUGCCAUUGAUACUGCAGAACUUGAGUACAGACGAGGUAGGCGGAAUUGACAGUGUAGCGGUGAAAUGCUUAGAUAUCGUCAAGAACACCGAUAGCGAAGGCAGCUUACUAGACUGUAACUGACGCUGAUGCACGAAAGUGUGGGGAUCAAACAGG